GGCAGACUACAGACGACAAUCUAUACUGGCAGACUACAGGUUAGAUACUUACUGGCAGACUACAUACUAUACUGGCAGACUACAGGCUUCAUACUAUACUGGCAGACUACAGACUAUACUGGCAGACUACAGGCUACAUACUAUACUGGCAGACUACAGGCUACAUACUAUACUGGCAGACUAUAUACUAUACUGGCAGACUACAGACGACAUACUAUACUGGCAGACUACAGACGACAAUCUAUACUGGCAGACUACAGGUUAGAUACUUACUGGCAGACUACAUACUAUACUGGCAGACUACAGGCUUCAUACUAUACUGGCAGACUACAGACUAUACUGGCAGACUACAGGCUACAUACUAUACUGGCAGACUACAGGCUUCAUAAUAUACUGGCAGACUACAGACUAUACUGGCAGACUACAGGCUACAUACUAUACUGGCAGACUAUAUACUAUACUGGCAGACUACAGGCUACAUACUAUAUUGGCAGACUAUAUACUAUACUGGCAGACUACAGACUAUACUGGCAGACUGCAGGCUACAUACUAUACUGGCAGACUACAAGCUUCAUACUAUACUGGCAGACUACAGACUAUACUGGCAGACUAUAUACUAUACUGGCAGACUACAGGCUACAUACUAUACUGGCAGACUAUAUACUAUACUGGCAGACUACAGGCUACAUACUAUACUGGCAGACUAUAUACUAUACUGGCAGACUACAGGCUACAUACUAUACUGGCAGACUAUAUACUAUACUGGCAGACUACAGGCUACAUACUAUAUUGGCAGACCAUAUACUAUACUGGCAGACUGCAGGCUACAUACUAUAUUGGCAGACUAUAUACUAUACUGGCAGACUACAGGCUACAUACUAUACUGGCAGACAACAAGCUCCAUACUAUACUGGCAGACUACAUACAUACUGGCAGACAACAAGCUCCAUACUAUACUGGCAGACUACAGG
This 971-nucleotide long non-coding RNA is filed under the name Salmo salar (Atlantic salmon). Its description in RNAcentral is "lncRNA (ENSSSAG00000091261.1)". The record is from RNAcentral. Lineage: Eukaryota; Metazoa; Chordata; Actinopteri; Salmoniformes; Salmonidae.